Molecule: ribosomal RNA, 442 nt
Filed under: uncultured bacterium
Lineage: Bacteria
Description: bacterial SSU rRNA
Rfam family: Bacterial small subunit ribosomal RNA
Source: RNAcentral
ACGCCGCGUGAGUGAUGAAGGCUUUCGGGUCGUAAAACUCUGUUGUUAGGGAAGAACAAGUGCUAGUUGAAUAAGCUGGCACCUUGACGGUACCUAACCAGAAAGCCACGGCUAACUACGUGCCAGCAGCCGCGGUAAUACGUAGGUGGCAAGCGUUAUCCGGAAUUAUUGGGCGUAAAGCGCGCGCAGGUGGUUUCUUAAGUCUGAUGUGAAAGCCCACGGCUCAACCGUGGAGGGUCAUUGGAAACUGGGAGACUUGAGUGCAGAAGAGGAAAGUGGAAUUCCAUGUGUAGCGGUGAAAUGCGUAGAGAUAUGGAGGAACACCAGUGGGCGAAGCGACUUUCUGGUCUGUAACUGACACUGAGGCGCGAAACGUGGGGACAAACAGGAUUAGAUACCUGGUAGUCCCGCCGUAAACGAUGAUGCUAAGUGUUANAGGGUU